AGGCUUUCGGGUAGUAAACCCCUUUCAGUUGGGACGAAGCCUCGGCGGUGAAUAGCCGACCGAGGUGACGGUACCUUCACAAGAAGCACCGGCUAACUACGUGC
RNAcentral lists this ribosomal RNA (104 nucleotides) under uncultured bacterium. Its description in RNAcentral is "partial 16S ribosomal RNA". The record is from RNAcentral.